This 253-nucleotide ribosomal RNA is filed under the name uncultured bacterium. RNAcentral describes it as "partial 16S ribosomal RNA". It matches the Rfam family "Bacterial small subunit ribosomal RNA", at positions 524 to 776 of the family's 1533-position model. The record is from RNAcentral.
CACGUAGGGCGCAAGCGUUGUCCGGAAUUAUUGGGCGUAAAGAGCUCGUAGGCGGUCUGUUACGCCUGCUGUGAAAACCCGGGGCUUAACCCUGGGCUUGCAGUGGAUACGGGCAGACUAGAGGCAGGUAGGGGAGAAUGGAAUUCCCGGUGUAGCGGUGAAAUGCGCAGAUAUCGGGAGGAACACCGGUGGCGAAGGCGGGUCUCUGGGCCGAUACUGACGCUGAGGAGCGAAAGCGUGGGGAGCGAACAGG